RNAcentral lists this ribosomal RNA (433 nucleotides) under uncultured bacterium. Its description in RNAcentral is "partial 16S ribosomal RNA". It matches the Rfam family "Bacterial small subunit ribosomal RNA", at positions 29 to 507 of the family's 1533-position model. The record is from RNAcentral.
AACGAACGCUGGCGGCAUGCCUAACACAUGCAAGUCGAACGAUCCCUUCGGGGAUAGUGGCGCACGGGUGCGUAACGCGUGGGAACCUGCCCUUAGGUUCGGAAUAACUCAGAGAAAUUUGAGCUAAUACCGGAUAAUGUCUUCGGACCAAAGAUUUAUCGCCUUUGGAUGGGCCCGCGUUGGAUUAGCUAGUUGGUGGGGUAAAGGCCUACCAAGGCGACGAUCCAUAGCUGGUCUGAGAGGAUGAUCAGCCACACUGGGACUGAGACACGGCCCAGACUCCUACGGGAGGCAGCAGUGGGGAAUAUUGGACAAUGGGCGAAAGCCUGAUCCAGCAAUGCCGCGUGAGUGAUGAAGGCCUUAGGGUUGUAAAGCUCUUUUACCCGGGAUGAUAAUCACAGUACCGGGAGAAUAAGCCCCGGCUAACUCCGUG